UGACGGGGACCCGCACAAGCGGUGGAGCAUGUGGUUUAAUUCGAAGCAAACGCGAAGAACCUUACCAAAUCUUGACAUCCUUUGACAACUCUAGAGAUAGAGCUUUCCCCUUCGGGGGACAAAGUGACGAGGUGGUGCAUGGUUGUCGUCAGCUCGUGUCGUGAGAUGUUGGGUUAAGUCCCGCAACGAGCGCAACCCUUAAGCUUAGUUGCCAUCAUUAAGUUGGGCACU
RNAcentral lists this ribosomal RNA (231 nucleotides) under Staphylococcus aureus. Its description in RNAcentral is "partial 16S ribosomal RNA". It matches the Rfam family "Bacterial small subunit ribosomal RNA", at positions 911 to 1139 of the family's 1533-position model. Lineage: Bacteria; Bacillati; Bacillota; Bacilli; Caryophanales; Staphylococcaceae. The record is from RNAcentral.